Non-coding RNA from Paralichthys olivaceus (Japanese flounder), 158 nucleotides. NCBI's taxonomy places the organism in Eukaryota, Metazoa, Chordata, Actinopteri, Pleuronectiformes, Paralichthyidae. The record is from RefSeq and is a predicted model, not a curated record.
CCAGCUGACGUCGCGGUGAAGCACGAUGAACGGAUACGCAGCUCCAGCUCUCGCCUCCGGCAUCUUCGGCUCGUACGACUCCAACAUGAAUGGUCUCGACUCUCAGUCUCCUGAACCUCCCAGAAAUAAAGCCAAGUCUGGUGCCAAAGCUCUGUACG